AGCUAGACUCACUUUUAAACCCCCAGUAACAUAGAAGGCAAUAGUGCUUAUUACCCCAGGUUGAACUGCUUUCUCUCCAGAAUAACUAUAUAGUUCUUAGUCUCCUACUUUACGAAUGAAACUAUCUGAAGAGCCCGUUUUUUGUGUGGCCUGGUUCCCUCACCUGCUUGGAAACUUUUUGCUUCCCUCUGUCAGCAGUGAGCCCAAAGAGAUAGUUGAAAAGUCCAAAAUCCCAGGCCGAAGAAACUCCCGAACUGAAGAGCCAACUGUGGCCUCUGAAAGUGUGGAAAAUGGACAUCGUAAACGAUCUUCUCGACCUGCUUCAGCCUCCAGCUCUACUAAAGGUUAGCAGUGGGAUGUGGGUGCUAUUUGUGGGUCAAAUAGAGGAAUAGAGUUCUUACCACAGCAGUAGAAGACUUUGUCCUUCAUCAUUGCUUCUGUUCCUGAAGUCUGUCAAGUGUCUUUGUCUUCUACUACCUGUUUGGUCCUUCCUUUAUUUGUUCAUUUAACUGUAUGUUUUCUGUGUGUGUACUCAAGAGCAACAAGCACUGCUGGAAAAAAGAACAUAACAGGGCAGAUUUAUUCCACUGGUUUUUGGGUUUUGGGUUUUUUUGUUGUUGUUGUUGGUUUUUGUUUGUUUGUUUUUUUGAAACAGGGUCUCACUUUAUUGCCUGGGCUGGAGUGCAGUGGCACAAUCACAGCUCACUGCAGCCUUGAAUUCCUGGGCUCAAGUAAUUCUCCUGCCUCAGCCUUCCAAAGCUGGAAUUGCAGGCAUGAGCCACCACACCUGGCCUUGAGUCCACUUUUUUUUUUUUUUUGAGAUGGAGUCUCAUUCUGUUGCCCAGGCUGGAGUGCAGUGGCGUGAUCUCAGCUUACUGUAACCUCCGCCUCCCAGGUUCAAGUGAUUCUCCUGCCUCAGCGUCCUGAGUAGCUGGGAUUACAGGUGCGUGCCACCUCACCUGGCUAAUGUUUCUAUUUUUAGUAGAGACAGGGAUUCAUCAUGUUGGCCAGGCUGGUCUCGAACUCCUAACCUCAAGUGAUCUGCCCAUCUCAGCUUCCUAAAGUGCUGGGAUUACAGGCUGAGCCACCACGCCCAGCUGAUUCCACUUUAAAUUCAUGAUCACCCACUUCAGAUAGGUCCUGAAUAUGGCCCAGCUAUCUUUCCAUGUUUCCAUGGUCAACUAUCUUUCCCACUCUAUUCUUUUUAAACCUCUGGUCCACACUUUCUCCCCCUCUCUCUUGGUAGAGACCCUGACCUCUUCACAGAGAAAAUAGAAUUCCCUCAGCUUCCCACUACCAAGAAAUAAAUCUACCAGUAUCCUCCUUUGUGCUUUCUAUAAUAGAGCAGCUGUCCUUCCUCAAGUCUAAGGCCAGUUUCUCCAUCUAUGCCUUUGAUCCCAUCUCCUCUGACCUUCUUAAGAACCUUACCCUGUGAGUGUUCUCUGUUGACUACUAUCUCCUUUUUAAAUUAACUUUUCCCUUGGGUUCUGUGACCAAGAACUCUCUGUUGUCUUCUGCUACCACCUCUCCAGCUGCUCCUCCUCAGUCUCCCUUCCCAGCCAUUAGAUGGUGACCUUCCUCAGACUUUGAUCCUGAGUCACCUUUUCUCUUCAAAUUCGUAUUUUCUCCCUAAUGGAUCUCAGUCAUGCCCCUCUUCUUUAGUAACAGCCUUUCACAGAUGACUUGUAAAUUUGUAUUUCUAUUUCUAGUACAGACCCCUAGAGAUCUUAGACAACUGCAUGCACAUCCUUACUGGAACCUCAGACUCAACAUAUCUAAAACCAAACUUGUGAUUUUUCACCUCCAACAGUGAGGUCCUCUGCCAUUGUACCCCAUCUCAAUAAAUGGCACCACCAUCUAUCCAUUAGACAAGUCCUCCUUGAUACCUCUCUCCCUCACCCUUAUAUCAAACUCGUCACAAAAAACUGCCCAUUUUAUCUCAGGUGGCCCUUUUCCAUCUUCACUACUACCCAC
Molecule: long non-coding RNA, 1974 nt
Filed under: Homo sapiens (human)
Lineage: Eukaryota; Metazoa; Chordata; Mammalia; Primates; Hominidae
Description: non-protein coding lnc-PIGU-2:1
Source: RNAcentral